RNAcentral lists this transfer RNA (65 nucleotides) under Paragavialidium hainanense. Its description in RNAcentral is "tRNA-Leu". Lineage: Eukaryota; Metazoa; Arthropoda; Insecta; Orthoptera; Tetrigidae. The record is from RNAcentral. RNAcentral also lists the same sequence under 1 other name.
ACUAUUUUGACAGAAUUAAUGUGUUAGAUUUAGGAUCUAUUUAUGUAAUAAAUUUACAUGUAGUA